Molecule: ribosomal RNA, 497 nt
Filed under: uncultured bacterium
Lineage: Bacteria
Description: partial 16S ribosomal RNA
Rfam family: Bacterial small subunit ribosomal RNA
Source: RNAcentral
GAUGAACGCUGGCGGCGUGCCUAAUACAUGCAAGUCGAGCGAACAGACGAGGAGCUUGCUCCUCUGACGUUAGCGGCGGACGGGUGAGUAACACGUGGAUAACCUACCUAUAAGACUGGGAUAACUUCGGGAAACCGGAGCUAAUACCGGAUAACAUGUUGAACCGCAUGGUUCAACAGUGAAAGACGGUCUUGCUGUCACUUAUAGAUGGAUCCGCGCCGCAUUAGCUAGUUGGUAAGGUAACGGCUUACCAAGGCAACGAUGCGUAGCCGACCUGAGAGGGGGAUAGGCCACACUGGAACUGAGACACGGUCAAGACGCCUACGAGAGGCAGCAGUAGGGAAUCUUCCGCAAUGGGCGAAAGCCUGACGGAGCAACGCCGCGUGAGUGAAGAAGGUCUUCGGAUCGUAAAACUCUGUUAUUAGGGAAGAACAAAUGUGUAAGUAACUAUGCACGUCUUGACGGUACCUAAUCAGAAAGCCACGGCUAACUACGUG